UCUUACUAGUCCACUACACCUAAAAGAGAAAGAUCCUGUCUGAGCUCGGAAGCUAAGCAGGGUCGCGACUGGUUAGUAGUUGGAUGGGAGACCACCUAGGAAGACCGGGUGCUGUAGGCA
Molecule: ribosomal RNA, 120 nt
Filed under: Pteropus vampyrus (large flying fox)
Lineage: Eukaryota; Metazoa; Chordata; Mammalia; Chiroptera; Pteropodidae
Source: RNAcentral